GUUGAAUGACUACAAAGACUCCCUACACUUGACCAAUCACGGACGAAGGGGUGUAGACUUCGGCUCCCGAACUGGCCUUGAUAAAAAUGUCUGCCGAACAGCACUGUCAACUGGAAAACGUCAAUGAACCAUUCUAACAAUGCCAACCACUUGGAGCCAAGUUUCCUGACCCAGGCUGUUAUGGCCACACCCAGUUCCACCUGAUCCCUGAUAGGUAUCGCAGGGACAAAAUGUCUUAUCUGAAUCUGACUGACCAGAUUGAGGUCUACCUGAGAGCUCAUGGCAUUGAGUCUAUUCACAUGGACAGGAGCACAAGCCAUGUAUCAUGGUUUCUGGAGCCAUGAGGAUGUGGCCAGGUCCUUUGUGUCCCACUAUUGGCCAGUACUUCUCUUUCUUCUGUUACCAGCUCAACUCCCUGGCCCUGUCCAUGAGACGGAUGCUGUGAACCCCAGGAAGAACUUGUGCUGGGGGACAGACAGUAUUCAUCUGUAUGAAAUUAAGCAUGGUGGUUGGGCUGGAUGACAGGGUCCUCAAGCUCCUGGUCUGGUUCCUACUGGGCAGGUCAGGUGGACAUGGAGAGAUGGUGUAUGCAGGGUGAAAGUGUUUUUGUUGAAUUGUUUCCAUCUGGAUUCAACAGUGGCAAAUGUCAAUUAAUGUACACUGAACGUGUGUGUGUGUGUGUGUGUGUGUGUGUGUGUAUCUCUGGUAUGAUCUGGCAGAAUGUAUUCAUGUGGAAAGUAAAAACAGUUGCAUACAGGGUUGAUUGGUGUCCAUAUCACUAAGGACCUAUCAUGGUUCAAACACACCAAUAUAGUUGUGAAGUGGCCACAACAAUGCCUCUUCCCCCUCAGGAGGCUGAAAAGAUUUGUCAUGGUCCCCUCAGUUAUUCAAAAAGUUAUACGUGCUUCUACACCUGCAUUGCUUGCUGUUUGAGGUUUUAGACUGGGUUUCUGUACAGCACUUUGAGAUAUCAGCUGAUGUACGAAGGGCUAUAUAAAUAAAUUUGAUUUGAUUUUAGAUUUUGAUCUUGACUGGCUGCAUCACCUCUUGGUAUGGCAACUGCUUGGCAUCUGACCGCAAGGUGCUGUGGAUGGUAGUGCGUGCCUACGGCCCAGUACAUCACGGGUUGAGCUCCUUGCCAUCCAGGACCUCUAUACCAGGCUGUUUCAAUGGGGAAAGAGUGGCUCGUACCCCGCUUCAGUGAUUAUUGUUGAAAACCCUGCUUCCGGUGUUCUGCUGUUUGCCACUAGGUGUCGCUUAGUCAAUGUGGACAAACGGCACAACCACAGAUGGAACAAGGAGACUGAUGUUUCACCGGAUGUAUAAAUCUGAAGGAUCUGGUUGGAAUUUCCACCCUAUUUGGUGAGGAGAGGAUGCCCAGUGGGAGAGUAUGGAGCGAGAUGGAACUGGGCUGGCGUUCUGCUGAUUUUUCUCAUUGAGGAAGAAAAGCCCGAUCUCAAUUAGUUAUCUUUUCUUAAAACUAGAAUCUGUUACAGAGUGCAAUAAGUUUUGUAGAUGUGACCCUUUGCCAAAGUUCCCUAACGGAAAUAUGCAAAUAAAUGCUAGAACGCGCAAAUAGGA
Oncorhynchus kisutch (coho salmon) is the source of this 1581-nucleotide long non-coding RNA. RefSeq lists it as uncharacterized. The transcript has 3 exons. NCBI's taxonomy places the organism in Eukaryota, Metazoa, Chordata, Actinopteri, Salmoniformes, Salmonidae. The record is from RefSeq and is a predicted model, not a curated record.